GUUAGGCCUAAAAAAAAAAUGUUGUGUUUCCGGUCACCCGACCGACCGUCCUUCAGACCCCGACCCAAAAGUUUUUAAAGCUGAUGUGGGAAAAAAAAUAAUUUGUAUACCUACCGACCGUUUUUUCUGAAAGAAAAUAAAAAAUUCUAAGUCCCUCGAUCUUUUUAUCGCCCCAAAAGAAAACAACGAUAAUUUUAAACUCGAGGCUUAUUUUUAGAAUGUACUGGAAAGUGGAAUCUUCUUGGCUAAUUAUAUUUGCGGGAGCAUGCGUAGU
RNAcentral lists this long non-coding RNA (274 nucleotides) under Mytilus galloprovincialis (Mediterranean mussel). The record is from RNAcentral. Lineage: Eukaryota; Metazoa; Mollusca; Bivalvia; Mytilida; Mytilidae.